Long non-coding RNA from Oncorhynchus mykiss (rainbow trout), 2716 nucleotides. RefSeq lists it as uncharacterized. Lineage: Eukaryota; Metazoa; Chordata; Actinopteri; Salmoniformes; Salmonidae. The record is from RefSeq and is a predicted model, not a curated record.
GCCACAUGUUGACUCAGUGGCGCUUCUCCAUGCAGGACAUGGGAGGGGGAGGGACUCACACUCUGUAAACAGGAAUAGGUUCAUCACUGGUCACUGAGCUGAUACUUUCAUAUCUAACAUGCUGGUGAUGCUAGCCAGCUAACCUCAUAUCUGGAUGCCUCACUCUAGUUCCCGAUAGAGCAGCAUACUGGCCCUCCAUUCCCAAACUUGAAGCCCCCUGUCGCCAACUGGAAAGACCAGGAAAAAGAGUUACUGACAUGAAAAGAAGCAUAUACAAGCAACCUAUCAUAUGUAUUUUAUAAAGCCCCUUUUACAUCAGCAGUUGUCACAAAGUGCUUAUACAGAUACCCAGCCUAAAACCCCAAAGAAUAAGCAUUGCAGACUUAGAAGCACAGUGGCUAGGAAAAACUUCCUAGAAAUAUAAGGGCGCAAGGCGAGAUCCAUAUGCAGACACCGGAGGUAGAUGGUUUGAGUCUUUGAUAUUUAUUGAUCAAUCCAAAAGGGGUAGGCAAGAGUGGUCGUGGACAGGCAAAAGGUCAAAACCAGUCCAGAGUCCAGGAGGUACAGAGUGGCAGGCAGAAUGGUCAGGUAGGCGGGUACGGAGUCCAGAAAACGGGCAAGGAUCAAAACCAGGAGGGCAAGAAAUAAGGGAAUAGAAGCAGGAGUACGGGAAAACACACUGGUUGACUUGAAAGACAUACAAGACGAACUGGCACAGAGAGACAGGAAACACAGGGACAAACACACCAGGGAAUAUAAGCGACACCUGGAGGGGGUGAAGACAAUCACAAGGACAGGUGAAACAGAUCAGGGUGUGACAAGAAAGGCAGGAACCUAGGAAGAAACCUAGAGGAACCAGGCUCUGAUGGGUGGCCAGUCCUAUUCUGGCUGUGCUGGUGGAGAUUAUAUAAGAGUACAGCCAUUUAGCCAGAUUAUUCUUCAAGACGUUUAAACGUUCAUAGAUGACCAGCAGUGUCAAAUAAUUGAGGGUUAUUGAGGGUGCAAUAGUUCAGCACCUCAGGAGUAAAUGCCAGUUGGCUUUUCAUGUCUGAGCAUUUAGAGGUUGAGACAGAGAAAGACAGGAUCAAACAGUGGGUCUGGGACAAGUUAGUACCUCCGGUGAGCCUUGAGCAGGUCAGGGUUCCAUAGCUGCAGACAGAAACAGCAGAGACAGCAGAACGACUAGGUGGACUGGAGACGGGGACAGCCAGGAGUUGUCAGGCCAGAUAGUCCCGAGGCAUGGUCCUAGAGCUCAUGUUCUGCAUCCUUUAUUUAACUUGAGUGUAGACUAAGCCCUAGAGGUUUGUAACUUCACAUGAUUUAGCCUAGUUGUCAAUCCAGAUCUGAAUAUUUGAUAUCCUUUUUACUGUACACUGUUGAUAGUAAUUUUUCACAAGCUAAUCACUGAAUGGCCUACUACAAGGAUGUUUUCAACUUGACACUUCUAUGUCAAAAUAACACAGAACACACACACACACACACAUCAGAUGGCAAUGGCAAGUACAACGAGCAGUUGGGAAAAUUAAGUCUGCUGCGUGUGUUGCCAGAUACACACACACACACACACACACAAACUUACUUCAUUUGUUGUAUUGUAUUUAUUAUGGAUCCCCAUUAGCUGCUGCCAAGACAGCAGUUACUCUUCUUUGGGUCCAGCAAAAUUUAAGGCAGUCAUACAAUUUUAAAAACAUUAAAAUACAUUCACAACAUAUGCCCUCAGGCCACAACUCUACUACAACAUAUCUACAGCACAAAAUCCUUGUGUACGUGUGUAUACAGUGUGUAUGUCAUCGUUUGUAUGCAUGUCUCUUCACAGUCCCCGCUGUUCCGUAAGGUGUAUUUUUUAUCUGUUUUUGAAAUUUAAUUUUACUGCUUGCACAAGUUACUUGAUGUGGAAUAGAGUUCCAUGUAGUCAUGGCUCUAUGUACGACUGUGCGCCUCCCAUAGUUUGUUCUGUUUAGGUUAGUGUGUAGUCAGGCUUUGUCAUUAAAAUUGUGCCUAUUUUUCAGAUCUGCCAACCUGCUCGGCGGUGUGAUGUGGUCCAGAUCCGACACCCCUAUUAGCUCAACCACAGUCUUCACAGCUGCAGUCGUCUGCAUCUGAUACACCGGCCACGACAGGUGACACAGAUCUGCCAUGCCCAGCAGUUCAGCUGCAGUCACAGCAGUCCACUGCUGUAGUAUUUAAUUUACCGGCUGCACCAGUUUCUACUCCACUGGCCGUGAAGGGAGAAACUUUUGAGGAUUCCCAGAUGGACACAGAUCUGCCAUGCACUCCACCACUGCCUGACAACCUCACCCAGAAGUGCAUACACUGGGCCGUUCAAGACUGACAAAGCAGAGUUGGGUGGCUGACAAGGAAAAAUAAAACAUGUGCACACACUCUCACACAGUUUAUCCACAAUGUAAAUAAGUUGUAAUUGCUUGCUUGUUUAAUGUUUGCUCCAUUUUAUUUUAUGAUUGGAGAUAUCUACUCCUAUAUAUCCAUUAUCAAUGUCUGCAUAAUUACUCUAAAUAUCUAUCAAAUCAAAGUGGGAUUGAUAAUAUUAUAAAAGACUGUGUACAGUUUUAGGAAAUUCUGUUGAAAAACAUGCCUGCCUCCCUCUCACACACACUACACCCAAUGUAAAUAAAUUGCAAUAACUUGUUUAAUGUAUGUAUGCUCCACUUUAUUUUAGGAAAAGAUCUGUAAUAAAGUACAUUCACAGUUAAAGUAA